UUAAGCGACUAAGCGUACACGGUGGAUGCCCUGGCAGUCAGAGGCGAUGAAGGACGUGCUAAUCUGCGAUAAGCGUCGGUAAGGUGAUAUGAACCGUUAUAACCGGCGAUUUCCGAAUGGGGAAACCCAGUGUGWUUCGWCACACUAUCAUUAACUGAAUCCAUAGGUUAAUGAGGCGAACCGGGGGAACUGAAACAUCUAAGUACCCCGAGGAAAAGAAAUCAACCGAGAUUCCCCCAGUAGCGGCGAGCGAACGGGGAGCAGCCCAGAGCCUGAAUCAGUGUGUGUGUUAGUGGAAGCGUCUGGAAAGGCGUGCGAUACAGGGUGACAGCCCCGUACACAAAAAUGCACAUGCUGUGAGCUCGAUGAGUAGGGCGGGACACGUGGUAUCCUGUCUGAAUAUGGGGGGACCAUCCUCCAAGGCUAAAUACUCCUGACUGACCGAUAGUGAACCAGUACCGUGAGGGAAAGGCGAAAAGAACCCCGGCGAGGGGAGUGAAAAAGAACCUGAAACCGUGUACGUACAAGCAGUGGGAGCACGCUUAGGCGUGUGACUGCGUACCUUUUGUAUAAUGGGUCAGCGACUUAUAUUCUGUAGCAAGGUUAACCGAAUAGGGGAGCCGAAGGGAAACCGAGUCUUAACUGGGCGUUAAGUUGCAGGGUAUAGACCCGAAACCCGGUGAUCUAGCCAUGGGCAGGUUGAAGGUUGGGUAACACUAACUGGAGGACCGAACCGACUAAUGUUGAAAAAUUAGCGGAUGACUUGUGGCUGGGGGUGAAAGGCCAAUCAAACCGGGAGAUAGCUGGUUCUCCCCGAAAGCUAUUUAGGUAGCGCCUCGUGAAUUCAUGUUAUCACGGGAGACACACGGCGGGUGCUAACGUCCGUCGUGAAGAGGGAAACAACCCAGACCGCCAGCUAAGGUCCCAAAGUCAUGGUUAAGUGGGAAACGAUGUGGGAAGGCCCAGACAGCCAGGAUGUUGGCUUAGAAGCAGCCAUCAUUUAAAGAAAGCGUAAUAGCUCACUGGUCGAGUCGGCCUGCGCGGAAGAUGUAACGGGGCUAAACCAUGCACCGAAGCUGCGGCAGCGACACUGUGUGUUGUUGGGUAGGGGAGCGUUCUGUAAGCCUGCGAAGGUGUGCUGUGAGGCAUGCUGGAGGUAUCAGAAGUGCGAAUGCUGACAUAAGUAACGAUAAAGCGGGUGAAAAGCCCGCUCGCCGGAAGACCAAGGGUUCCUGUCCAACGUUAAUCGGGGCAGGGUGAGUCGACCCCUAAGGCGAGGCCGAAAGGCGUAGUCGAUGGGAAACAGGUUAAUAUUCCUGUACUUGGUGUUACUGCGAAGGGGGGACGGAGAAGGCUAUGUUGGCCGGGCGACGGUUGUCCCGGUUUAAGCGUGUAGGCUGGUUUUCCAGGCAAAUCCGGAAAAUCAAGGCUGAGGCGUGAUGACGAGGCACUACGGUGCUGAAGCAACAAAUGCCCUGCUUCCAGGAAAAGCCUCUAAGCAUCAGGUAACAUCAAAUCGUACCCCAAACCGACACAGGUGGUCAGGUAGAGAAUACCAAGGCGCUUGAGAGAACUCGGGUGAAGGAACUAGGCAAAAUGGUGCCGUAACUUCGGGAGAAGGCACGCUGAUAUGUAGGUGAAGUCCCUCGCGGAUGGAGCUGAAAUCAGUCGAAGAUACCAGCUGGCUGCAACUGUUUAUUAAAAACACAGCACUGUGCAAACACGAAAGUGGACGUAUACGGUGUGACGCCUGCCCGGUGCCGGAAGGUUAAUUGAUGGGGUCAGCGCAAGCGAAGCUCUUGAUCGAAGCCCCGGUAAACGGCGGCCGUAACUAUAACGGUCCUAAGGUAGCGAAAUUCCUUGUCGGGUAAGUUCCGACCUGCACGAAUGGCGUAAUGAUGGCCAGGCUGUCUCCACCCGAGACUCAGUGAAAUUGAACUCGCUGUGAAGAUGCAGUGUACCCGCGGCAAGACGGAAAGACCCCGUGAACCUUUACUAUAGCUUGACACUGAACAUUGAGCCUUGAUGUGUAGGAUAGGUGGGAGGCUUUGAAGUGUGGACGCCAGUCUGCAUGGAGCCGGCCUUGAAAUACCACCCUUUAAUGUUUGAUGUUCUAACGUUGACCCGUGAUCCGGGUUGCGGACAGUGUCUGGUGGGUAGUUUGACUGGGGCGGUCUCCUCCUAAAGAGUAACGGAGGAGCACGAAGGUUGGCUAAUCCUGGUCGGACAUCAGGAGGUUAGUGCAAUGGCAUAAGCCAGCUUGACUGCGAGCGUGACGGCGCGAGCAGGUGCGAAAGCAGGUCAUAGUGAUCCGGUGGUUCUGAAUGGAAGGGCCAUCGCUCAACGGAUAAAAGGUACUCCGGGGAUAACAGGCUGAUACCGCCCAAGAGUUCAUAUCGACGGCGGUGUUUGGCACCUCGAUGUCGGCUCAUCACAUCCUGGGGCUGAAGUAGGUCCCAAGGGUAUGGCUGUUCGCCAUUUAAAGUGGUACGCGAGCUGGGUUUAGAACGUCGUGAGACAGUUCGGUCCCUAUCUGCCGUGGGCGCUGGAGAACUGAGGGGGGCUGCUCCUAGUACGAGAGGACCGGAGUGGACGCAUCACUGGUGUUCGGGUUGUCAUGCCAAUGGCACUGCCCGGUAGCUAAAUGCGGAAGAGAUAAGUGCUGAAAGCAUCUAAGCACGAAACUUGCCCCGAGAUGAGUUCUCCCUGACUCCUUGAGAGUCCUGAAGGAACGUUGAAGACGACGACGUUGAUAGGCCGGGUGUGUAAGCGCAGCGAUGCGUUGAGCUAACCGGUACUAAUGAACCGUGAGGCUUAACCUU
Molecule: ribosomal RNA, 2822 nt
Filed under: Escherichia coli
Lineage: Bacteria; Pseudomonadati; Pseudomonadota; Gammaproteobacteria; Enterobacterales; Enterobacteriaceae
Description: bacterial LSU rRNA
Source: RNAcentral